This 1330-nucleotide unclassified non-coding RNA is filed under the name uncultured fungus. RNAcentral's name for it is "sequence contains 18S rRNA gene, ITS1, 5.8S rRNA gene, ITS2, 28S rRNA gene". Lineage: Eukaryota; Fungi. The record is from RNAcentral.
UGCGGCCGUACCCGGCGGUGUCGGUGAAUCCGACGAUCGGGACCAUCACGCUCAACGGUGCUGUUGGCUGCGGAUCGACGACGAGGUGGGCGGCACCACGAUCGUCAGCGUCGUCGUCGAGGACGGGCGGAUCACGCGGAUCUUCGCCAUGCGCAACCCGCACAAGCUCACCCGGCUGGACGAGGAGGCCCAGCUCACCCGUUGAGCUGGGGUGGGGCCGCGCGCACCGGUAGACCCGGUCGUCUCGGCCGGAAAUGCCUUUCUCCGAAGCCCGAGCACGCCUAGGUUCGGCCCAUGACCUUGGAAUGGGAGCAGGUACUUGUUCACUCGAAAGAUCCCAUGAGCUUGGGGCAAUGGUGGGCUGAGGCCCUUGGUUGGGUGGUGGUCUACUCCUCGGCUGACGAGUUCGAGAUCCGCCCGGAGCCGGAUCGCAUGCCGGGAUUGGACUUCGUACGGCUUGAUGAGGCAAAAACGGCGAAGAGCCGACUGCAUCUCGACUUCAGGCCGGAUGACCAGGACGCCGAGGUGGCUCGUCUGGUGGCUCACGGCGCACAGCGUGUUGACAUCGGCCAGGUGAUCAGCAGCCGUGGGUUGUUCUGGUCGAUCCGAAGGCAACGAGUUCUGCGUCCUUGGCCAGCGAGGUCAGUAGAUCUGACCGCCCCGUGGGGACGCGCGCUCCCAGACCUCAGCGACCCGACAGCGCGAAGACGCCGUAUCCGAAUCCGUCCGCGUGCACGGUGCCCUCGGUGAUCGCGACACCGUCGGCGAGCAGGGACGUGGUGUCGGUCAGGUGGCCCCAGUCAAAGGUGGCGGGCGCGUGGCGUGGGUUGACCACCACGAGGUGGGUCUCGUCGCGGAGGUAGGCGAGGGGGUAUCCGUCGUGCAGCACCUGGGUGCUCGCGCGCGACCCGAGCGCUGGUGUCGCCUUGCGCAGGGCGAUGAGUCGUCUGACGAGGUUGAGGGUGGAGUGCGGGUCAUGCUCCUGCGCUGCGACGGUGGGGCGCGCCGGGUCGGGAUCUAUCGGGAGGUAGAGCCGUGACUGGUCGGCCGUGGAGAACCCCGCGUUGGGGGUGUCGUCCCACUGCAUGGGAGUGCGGCACCCAGCCCGGUUGUACGAGGGUUGCAGAUCGCUCCCUCCACGUCGGGAGUGCCGGGCAGAUAGCGCAUCCCGAUCUCGUCGCCGUAGUAGACGCAGGGCACCGACCCCAGGUGAGCAAGAACGUGAGGGCCGGCCCGAGCUGCUCGACGGUCCGCGGCCCACAGCACAGUCGGCUGAAGUCGUGGUCGGCGGUGGACAGGAUGAUCGGUCGCACGGGGUCCGCCUGUCUCG